Molecule: small nucleolar RNA, 138 nt
Organism: Tachyglossus aculeatus (Australian echidna)
Lineage: Eukaryota; Metazoa; Chordata; Mammalia; Monotremata; Tachyglossidae
Source: RefSeq, a predicted model, not a curated record
UACCACUCAGGGUCGCAUCUGGAGAGUUUCCAGUAUUCUUCCAGUCUUGACUACAGGAGGGAAAGUCAAGCAGAGGCAUAUCCAUUCCACUCCUAGCUUGGGCAGUGGCUAGAUAGUGGAAGGCAAUCUGCUACAAGA